This 793-nucleotide ribosomal RNA is filed under the name uncultured bacterium. RNAcentral describes it as "bacterial SSU rRNA". It matches the Rfam family "Bacterial small subunit ribosomal RNA", at positions 8 to 796 of the family's 1533-position model. The record is from RNAcentral.
AGAGUUUGAUCCUGGCUCAGAUUGAACGCUGGCGGCAUGCCUUACACAUGCAAGUCGAACGGCAGCACGGGGGCAACCCUGGUGGCGAGUGGCGAACGGGUGAGUAACAUAUCGGAACGUGUCCUGGAGUGGGGGAUAACUAGUCGAAAGACUAGCUAAUACCGCAUACGAUCUACGGAUGAAAGUGGGGGAUCGCAAGACCUCAUGCUCGUGGAGCGGCCGAUAUCUGAUUAGCUAGUUGGUGGGGUAAAGGCCUACCAAGGCAUCGAUCAGUAGCUGGUCUGAGAGGACGACCAGCCACACUGGGACUGAGACACGGCCCAGAAUCCUACGGGAGGCAGCAGUGGGGAAUUUUGGACAAUGGGCGCAAGCCUGAUCCAGCAAUGCCGCGUGAGUGAAGAAGGCCUUCGGGUUGUAAAGCUCUUUUGUCAGGGAAGAAACGGUUCUGGUUAAUACCUGGGGCUAAUGACGGUACCUGAAGAAUAAGCACCGGCUAACUACGUGCCAGCAGCCGCGGUAAUACGUAGGGUGCAAGCGUUAAUCGGAAUUACUGGGCGUAAAGCGUGCGCAGGCGGUUGUGCAAGACCGAUGUGAAAUCCCCGGGCUUAACCUGGGAAUGGCAUUGGUGACUGUACGGCUAGAGUGUGUCAGAGGGGGGUAGAAUUCCACGUGUAGCAGUGAAAUGCGUAGAGAUGUGGAGGAAUACCGAUGGCGAAGGCAGCCCCCUGGGAUAACACUGACGCUCAUGCACGAAAGCGUGGGGAGCAAACAGGAUUAGAUACCCUGGUAGUCC